Molecule: ribosomal RNA, 436 nt
Filed under: uncultured Saccharofermentans sp.
Lineage: Bacteria; Bacillati; Bacillota; Clostridia; Eubacteriales; Oscillospiraceae
Description: partial 16S ribosomal RNA
Rfam family: Bacterial small subunit ribosomal RNA
Source: RNAcentral
ACGGGAGGCAGCAGUGGGGAAUAUUGGGCAAUGGGCGCAAGCCUGACCCAGCGACGCCGCGUGAGGGAAGAAGGUCUUCGGAUUGUAAACCUUUGUUAACAGGGACGAAUAAAUGACGGUACCUGAAUAGAAAGCCACGGCUAACUACGUGCCAGCAGCCGCGGUAAUACGUAGGUGGCGAGCGUCGUCCGGAUUUACUGGGUGUAAAGGGUGUGUAGGCGGGUCUGCAAGUCAGAUGUGAAAUACCGAGGCUUAACUUCGGGGCUGCAUUUGAAACUGUGGAUCUUGAGAGUGGGAGAGGUAAGCGGCAUUCCCGGUGUAGCGGUGAAAUGCGUAGAUAUUAGGAGGAACACCAGUGGCGAAGGCGGCUUGCUGGACGACAACUGACGCUGAGGCGCGAAAGCGUGGGGAGCAAACAGGAUUAGAUACCCUGGUA